Molecule: long non-coding RNA, 1417 nt
Organism: Mesocricetus auratus (golden hamster)
Lineage: Eukaryota; Metazoa; Chordata; Mammalia; Rodentia; Cricetidae
Exons: 4
Source: RefSeq, a predicted model, not a curated record
AUCUCGGUUGUCUUUACAGGACUGGGAUGCACAUGGCAGUUACUUAAAUGUGUCUCUGGGUGUUUGCAGGGGAUGUUAACUACGGGAGGACAUGUGCCCUGCACGCUGGCAGCGCCACCCCACAGGCUGGGGUGUUACAAGGGAAAGGAGAAGACCCUGGAAACUGAAGAUGGAUGAAUUCAGUACUCAACGGCUGAGUGUCUUGCCUGAACGUCUGUCUGUGCAUCGCGUGGGCCAUGCCCACAGAGGCCAGAAAAAGGAUGUUGGUUCCUAAAGGUCGUUGUGAGCUGCCAUACAGGGUCUUACUAUAUUGUCCUGGCUGGGUUAGAAAUCACUUUAUAGACCAGACUGGCCAUUGUCUCCUAAGUGCAGAGAUAAAAGAAUAAGAAACCCAAGUCCAGGUAUACCUUAAACCUCCCUUACAGCUGGAACUCCCCAUCCUGAAGUACCAGCCCUCUAUGUGGGAGACAACGUCGAAGGAAGACCUCUGUGAGAGGGCACACCAAACUGUUGAACUUGGUCCUGACUUUGAAAAGAUGGUAUUAAACAAAAAAAACCCUUUUCUUUAUGCUUGCCAUGCAAGCCACCAACACUGCAGAACUCAAUGGUUUUGCCUCAUACUCGGUUAUGUGUGUGCCGUGCAACCGUAGCCAUGACACAUUUCUACAGUGCGGUCUGGAGUCGUCACCCCAUCCCGACUCCUUCCAGAAGCAAGAAGCCACCUGCGUGCUUCUGUCGCUGUAGAUGAACUCGUCCUGGAUUUUCAUAGGGAUGAAACGAUGUGAUCUUUGGUCUCCUGGGAUUGGCUUCCACUUAUCCUAGCUGUGCUUAACGCCUUUGGCGAAAGAUCGUGUGCAAUUGGCAAGACCCCAAUCCCGUGCUUCCUGAGCUCUUCCCACUCUGUCUGUCCCCUCACCUCCGUGGGGGUAGGUGUCAAUCAGCUCCAGAGAGGAGCAGGGCGUCUGCUAGUCCUAGGUCUUGUUUUUGUGGAGUGUAGGAUCCUUGUUAUCUUUUUCUUUUCAGUAUACUAAAAAUUUUAAUUAAACCUAACAACCCCACGUCUUUGCAGGGCCAAGUAUCAUAUGGAGAACACACAUGCAACCAUCAAAUCAGGGUAACUGGCAUGUCUGUCCCAUCAAGCUUUAUUUCGGCCUCCGUCAAAAACCAAGCACCCUAACAGGGGGCCCUCACUCUCCUUUCUUGACUCCAGCAUGAAGUAUGAAGCAUUCAGGAGACUCAGAGGCAACAAAGAGCUCAGAGGGAAUAAACCGUCUUCCGAAGCUGUUGGACUGAGGCCGAAGGCUGUAAAGACUUGUUUAUUGUGUUAAGUUAGCUCCUGAGAUUUAGACCUGUUUACCCCAGCAACUAAUCUUGUUUGCUUAGACUACGAAUACGCUAAAAACACUCUUUGAAAGCC